Molecule: ribosomal RNA, 126 nt
Filed under: Enterobacter hormaechei subsp. steigerwaltii
Lineage: Bacteria; Pseudomonadati; Pseudomonadota; Gammaproteobacteria; Enterobacterales; Enterobacteriaceae
Also listed under: 1 other name
Description: partial 23S ribosomal RNA
Rfam family: Bacterial large subunit ribosomal RNA (bases 1-108)
Source: RNAcentral
UUGAGUCUCCUGAAGGAACGUUGAAGACGACGACGUUGAUAGGUCGGGUGUGUAAGCGCAGCGAUGCGUUGAGCUAACCGAUACUAAUGAACCGUGAGGCUUAACCUUACAACGCCGAAGGUGUUU